Molecule: small nucleolar RNA, 79 nt
Organism: Bombina bombina (fire-bellied toad)
Lineage: Eukaryota; Metazoa; Chordata; Amphibia; Anura; Bombinatoridae
Product: small nucleolar RNA SNORD79
Exons: 1
Source: RefSeq, a predicted model, not a curated record
UACUGAAUAUGAUGACUUUAUUGAUAGUCAAUGGGAAUCUCUCUGAAUAAGUGAGUGAACGCUUCAUACUGACUUAGUA